CAAUACAACCCGCGCCUCACGAAGGACUUGGACGCUUUCAAUCGAAACUGAUGGCUAACUUGAACUUGCCCUACCCAAAGAUGAUUGACAAAGCUGUACCCGCUAACCGUGAAUGUGGACUCUACGACAUACCAAAGGACAAGUGAAGAACAAAUCAAGCAAAAUCACAAACAUAUACCGGUUUAACAUCUACUUAUGAUCCGAAGCAAUAUCAGCUUUUAAGCAGUAUUUUAUGUUACUUGUAUGGUGAUCAAAUUUUGGGCUUUCACCGAAGAGUUUACUUUUUGUUAAAUAUAUAAAAAAAAUGCUUCAGUGGUCGAUCAAAUAUCAGGACAUGCAGCAAAUAUCAAGAUCGUACUUGAACAAUAAACCUAUAUCUUGGCUUGUA
This is a long non-coding RNA of Armigeres subalbatus, 388 nucleotides long. RefSeq lists it as uncharacterized. Lineage: Eukaryota; Metazoa; Arthropoda; Insecta; Diptera; Culicidae. The record is from RefSeq and is a predicted model, not a curated record. The transcript is spliced from 2 exons.